RNAcentral lists this ribosomal RNA (292 nucleotides) under uncultured prokaryote. Its description in RNAcentral is "partial 16S ribosomal RNA". It matches the Rfam family "Bacterial small subunit ribosomal RNA", at positions 505 to 796 of the family's 1533-position model. The record is from RNAcentral.
GUGCCAGCAGCCGCGGUAAUACGUAGGUGGCAAGCGUUAUCCGGAAUUAUUGGGCGUAAAGCGCGCGCAGGUGGUUUCUUAAGUCUGAUGUGAAAGCCCACGGCUCAACCGUGGAGGGUCAUUGGAAACUGGGAGACUUGAGUGCAGGAGAGGAAAGUGGAAUUCCAUGUGUAGCGGUGAAAUGCGUAGAGAUAUGGAGGAACACCAGUGGCGAAGGCGACUUUCUGGUCUGUAACUGACACUGAGGCGCGAAAGCGUGGGGAGCAAACAGGAUUAGAAACCCCAGUAGUCC